GAUGAAGAACGCAGCGAAAUGCGAUAAGUAAUGUGAAUUGCAGAAUUCAGUGAAUCAUCGAAUCUUUGAACGCACAUUGCGCCCGCCAGUAUUCUGGCGGGCAUGCCUGUUCGAGCGUCAUUUCAACCAUCAAGCCCCAGGCUUGUGUUGGGGACCUGCGGCUGCCGCAGGCCCUGAAAACCAGUGGCGGGCUCGCUGUCACACCGAGCGUAGUAGAUUUUAUCUCGCUCAGGGCGUGCUGCGGGUUCCGGCCGUUAAAAAGCCUUUUUUACCCAAGGUUGACCUCGGAUCAGGUAGGAAGACCCGCUGAACUUAAGCAUAUCAAUAAGCGGAGGA
Molecule: unclassified non-coding RNA, 336 nt
Filed under: soil metagenome
Description: partial contains 5.8S ribosomal RNA, internal transcribed spacer 2, and large subunit ribosomal RNA
Rfam family: 5.8S ribosomal RNA (bases 1-120)
Source: RNAcentral